UACGUAGGGUGCGAGCGUUGUCCGGAAUUACUGGGCGUAAAGAGCUUGUAGGUGGUUUGUCGCGUUGUUCGUGAAAUCUCACGGCUUAACUGUGAGCGUGCGGGCGAUACGGGCAGACUAGAGUACUGCAGGGGAGACUGGAAUUCCUGGUGUAGCGGUGGAAUGCGCAGAUAUCAGGAGGAACACCGGUGGCGAAGGCGGGUCUCUGGGCAGUAACUGACGCUGAGAAG
RNAcentral lists this ribosomal RNA (230 nucleotides) under uncultured microorganism. RNAcentral's name for it is "partial 16S ribosomal RNA". It matches the Rfam family "Bacterial small subunit ribosomal RNA", at positions 524 to 753 of the family's 1533-position model. The record is from RNAcentral.